This 253-nucleotide ribosomal RNA is filed under the name uncultured prokaryote. RNAcentral describes it as "partial 16S ribosomal RNA". It matches the Rfam family "Bacterial small subunit ribosomal RNA", at positions 525 to 777 of the family's 1533-position model. The record is from RNAcentral.
ACGGAGGGUGCAAGCGUUAUCCGGAUUCACUGGGUUUAAAGGGUGCGUAGGAGGACUGGUAAGUCAGUGGUGAAAUCCCCGAGCUUAACUUGGGAACUGCCGUUGAUACUAUCAGUCUUGAAUACCGUGGAGGUGAGCGGAAUAUGUCAUGUAGCGGUGAAAUGCUUAGAUAUGACAUAGAACACCAACUGCGUAGGCAGCUUACUACACGAUCAUUGACGCUGAGGCACGAAAGCGUGGGGAGCAAACAGGA